Non-coding RNA from Cinara cedri, 2673 nucleotides. The record is from the annotation of a GenBank genome assembly. Lineage: Eukaryota; Metazoa; Arthropoda; Insecta; Hemiptera; Aphididae.
UUUUCUUUUUGUUGCCUAUUACAAUAAUAUUAAAACUACCUACAUAGCUUAAAAUUAUGUACACUAUAUUAUUAUAUUCUAUGGAAUACGCAUAUUAUUAUACAGAACGAUUCAUACUGAAAAACAAACGCUCGCGAUCAAACGGUUUAUACGACAUUGAAAAAAAAAAUCGACAAAAAUAUGAUUCUAUUACUUCGGACCGUUUUAUAUAGUUUUUGGAUACCUAUAUAUAUACGUACAUACGACACGCCGUCGCCGAGUACCUAUCGAGAGAAUACUUCGCCUGUCGGAAAAUCGAAUUUGCGCACAAUCAACGAGAUUUCGUUAAUAUUUUUAUUUCGCCGAUGUUUUUAUACCGGCUUUAACUACGCGUUUUCUUGUCGAUACAUAAUAUAAUAUUAUGUUUCCGGUAGAGAGCGUAUAUAUACCUAUAUUGUAUUUUAUAUAUUGGUUAAGUUAUUUUCGACGAUGACGACGACGGAAUAAAAUCGAUUUUAUAGCAUAUAGAAAGAGAGAGAGAGAGAGAGAGAGAGAGAGAGAGAAAAGUGUGAUAGCCCAUAGGGUAAAUUUACGGACAUUAAUAACGUUUAUAACGUAAAUAUAAAUAAAGGUGUAUAAAAUGACAAAAUGUCUAAUAUUAUUGUCCUCCCUGGCUCGAUGGUUUGACAUGUGUUGUAUAGUGUUUUACGAAGACUCGCGUAUUUACAAACACCAUGUAAAUAGCGAAACGUUUCUCGUGGAUCGCUCGGUAGUAUAAUUUUAGAACUAUAUGGUAGAUAUUUCUAUGUCCUAAAAACCUUUAGAUAUUUAUGCAGAUGUGAACGGAAAUACCAUAAUAUGCUUAAGAAAAAAAAAAAAAAAUGUUAAAAUUGCACAUUAUUAUUAUUUACUAGAUAUUAUACAUUUGUACAGCUAAUCCCAACGAAGAACUUAACUAAAUUUGAAACAUGUUUGAAUAAAAAUUUAAACAUGUUGAAUUUAAAUUAAAUUUAUUGAAUUAUUUUGUGAUUCUCGAUUCGUCGAGUUGAAAAUGUCUUAAAAAUGCACUAAAAUUAAUGUAUGCCUUCUUGAAAUUUGCAUUACAAAUCCCAAAACAUUAAAAUAUGCAAAAAGAUACAAGAUAAAAUGUCGUUAUUAUAUGCAAUUAUGAGGUCAUGAAACACAUUUUGGUAUAAAGUAGGUAGCUAUUUUUUUAACCAACCAAUAAAAACACGCAGAAACAUAUCAAUAUUUUCCCUAGUUAAAAUUACGUUUAGUGUAGAUAUUUCUACGCCUUUGUGUAUUUGCCCUGGUUAGUCGAAAAAAAAAUCAAUAGCUAGUUAAUACCGAAGUAUGUUUCACAAACUAACGGUUUUAUAAUAUAAUGAUAUUUUAUUAAAAAAAUAAUAAAUUGUUUUUUGCAUAGGUAUUUAUCGGAAAUUUCGCAUUUUUAAGGCAUAUUUUAGGAUUUCGUAUGGAAUUUCUAAGAAAACUUUUCCACUCUAAAAAUCGUGAAUCACAACGAAAUAUCGUCCGAGAUUUAUAAACUCUGAUAAACGCUGAUAAAUGUUUAGCAGGUAUCCCAGUGAAAAAUCCGGCUACCUGCGGGUAAACACCACGUUUGUAUACGUAAACGCGUGUUCUCGAUAUUCUACAUAAUAUUAUCAGCAGGUAAUAUGCGAUGUUCUUUGACAAUAUCGAAAUAUGAACCGAUGUUCGCGCAGGACGCAGUUCGCUAGGCGCGUAAACACUCUUCGCGCAAAUCGUUUAUGAUGGGGGAGGGGGGCGGGGUCUGGUUAGGCGGCUUCAGACCGUGAUAUAGGUAUUAUUACGCGCGUGCAAAUAAUAACAGCAUUGUAAUCCGUUCGCUUUGGUAUGAUGGUUUGACGCGUAUCGAUUUCAUUAUAGGCAUCGAUAACGUAAUAAUAAUAUUAUAAACGUAUAAACCCCCUCCCCUCCCCCCCGCUAUCGUACUGUUUUAACGAAAAUACUUUGUACCGCGUAAUAACAUUUAUAAUACCCAUAUAUUUUGUUGCACGCUUACGAAUUUCACUCGCGGGGAAACAUCGAUCGACUAUUAUAAUAAACGAUUACGACGCAUACAAUUUUGUUUAAUAAGUUUUCAACUUUUUAUGCGUUAUGUUUCGGCAACGUUCGCGAGCGAACGGUUAUAGCAAAAAAACAAAAUAAAAUAUCUCCAUCGCUACGGUCGGAAUCUGAAAAAAAUAACGUUGUAAACGAAAUAUACAUUAAACAAUAUUGUUAAACUGCAGCAUAUUGCAGCUGCAGGAGGGGUAUUAUAAUAUGUCCGCCGACUAAAUAUAUAUAUAUAUAUAUAUAGGUAUAUAUAGGUUAUGAUAAUAUUUAAUAUUUAUAUAUACAUUUUAGACUACAAUAAUAGCGUUCUAUAUUUUUAAUUAUUUAUUUAUUUUUAAAGCUAAACGGACGUCAAGGAUGAUAGUGUCGAAUAUUAUAAUACAAACGCGUUCUUAACCGCAGCUAUUGUGUUUUACCCGUAGAAAACAAUAAUAUACCAAGUGUAAUAAUAUUUGUGUAAAUACGUCCGAGAGAAAUACUAAUAGUAAAGGCGCAUAACAAACGGAAAAAAAAUUAAUAAAAAGUUGAACAACAUAAUAGUAAUAAUAAUAUAGUAUACAAUAAUAAUAUAAAAUUAAAAAAAAAAAAAAAACCAAA